CCUACGGGAGGCAGCAGUGGGGAAUAUUGGACAAUGGGCGAAAGCCUGAUCCAGCAAUGCCGCGUGAGUGAUGAAGGCCUUAGGGUUGUAAAGCUCUUUUACCAGGGAUGAUAAUGACAGUACCUGGAGAAUAAGCUCCGGCUAACUCCGUGCCAGCAGCCGCGGUAAUACGGAGGGAGCUAGCGUUGUUCGGAAUUACUGGGCGUAAAGCGUACGUAGGCGGUUAUUCAAGUCAGAGGUGAAAGCCUGGAGCUCAACUCCAGAACUGCCUUUGAAACUAGAUAGCUAGAAUCUUGGAGAGGUGAGUGGAAUUCCGAGUGUAGAGGUGAAAUUCGUAGAUAUUCGGAAGAACACCAGUGGCGAAGGCGACUCACUGGACAAGUAUUGACGCUGAGGUACGAAAGCGUGGGGAGCAAACAGGAUUAGAUACCCUGGUAGUCCACGCCGUAAACGAUGAUAACUAGCUGUUCGGGCUCUACGAGCUUGAGUGGCGCAGCUAACGCAUUAAGUUAUCCGCCUGGGGAGUACGGUCGCAAGAUUAAAACCUUAAAGGAAUUGAGG
This 561-nucleotide ribosomal RNA is filed under the name uncultured bacterium. RNAcentral describes it as "bacterial SSU rRNA". It matches the Rfam family "Bacterial small subunit ribosomal RNA", at positions 338 to 915 of the family's 1533-position model. The record is from RNAcentral.